CAAGAAGUAGUUUAAUUAGAAUAUCAGCUUUGGGUGCUGAUGGUGGGGAAUAGGUUCCUUCUUCCUUGA
RNAcentral lists this transfer RNA (69 nucleotides) under Mus terricolor (Earth-colored mouse). RNAcentral describes it as "tRNA-Pro". It matches the Rfam family "tRNA". From Rfam's summary of the family: Transfer RNA (tRNA) molecules are approximately 80 nucleotides in length. Lineage: Eukaryota; Metazoa; Chordata; Mammalia; Rodentia; Muridae. The record is from RNAcentral.